UACGUAGGGCGCGAGCGUUGUCCGGAAUUAUUGGGCGUAAAGAGCUCGUAGGCGGCUUGUGCGUCCGCUGUGAAAACUCCAGGGCUCAACCCUGGCGCUGCAGUGGAUACGGGCAUCACUUGAGUUCGGCAGGGGAGACUGGAAUUCCUGGUGUAGCGGUGAAAUGCGCAGAUAUCAGGAGGAACACCGGUGGCGAAGGCGGGUCUCUGGGCCGAUACUGACGCUGAGGAGCGAAAGCGUGGGGAGCGAACAGG
Molecule: ribosomal RNA, 254 nt
Filed under: uncultured bacterium
Lineage: Bacteria
Description: partial 16S ribosomal RNA
Rfam family: Bacterial small subunit ribosomal RNA
Source: RNAcentral